CUGGGUGGCUUCGGCCGUAUACCCCUAACCAUUGUGAACGAAACAGUUGCCUCGCUGGAGGGUGGUGAAAACCGCCCGCUGGCAGCACAAAACUCUUCUGAUGUUAUCUCUGAGUUACUUAUAAAUAAGUUA
This 132-nucleotide unclassified non-coding RNA is filed under the name uncultured fungus. RNAcentral describes it as "sequence contains ITS1". Lineage: Eukaryota; Fungi. The record is from RNAcentral.